UUAAUUCUCAUGUAUGUUCAGACGCAAACGCUUAUCCGCAUAAAUGCGGCGCCGGAGCGCUGAAGCAUGGGUUGCUUCCACAGGUUUGAAGGUUGAAGGCCGAAGCCAUUCAGUAAUGAUCCCUCCGCAGGUUCACCUAUGGAGA
RNAcentral lists this unclassified non-coding RNA (145 nucleotides) under uncultured fungus. Its description in RNAcentral is "sequence contains ITS1". Lineage: Eukaryota; Fungi. The record is from RNAcentral.